Molecule: transfer RNA, 76 nt
Filed under: Vibrio parahaemolyticus
Lineage: Bacteria; Pseudomonadati; Pseudomonadota; Gammaproteobacteria; Vibrionales; Vibrionaceae
Description: tRNA-Val
Rfam family: tRNA
About the family: Transfer RNA (tRNA) molecules are approximately 80 nucleotides in length. Their secondary structure includes four short double-helical elements and three loops (D, anti-codon, and T loops).
Source: RNAcentral
GGGCGAUUAGCGCAGUUGGGAGAGCACCUGCCUUACAAGCAGGGGGUCCCUGGUUCGAGCCCGGUAUCGCCCACCA